UGGUGACGAUAGCAGAGAGGAUCCACCUGUUCCCAUCCCGAACACAGAAGUUAAGCUCUCUCACGCCGAAAGUACUUGGGCUUUGACCCCGGGAGAAUAGGUAGUUGCC
This 109-nucleotide ribosomal RNA is filed under the name Candidatus Gallimonas gallistercoris. The record is from RNAcentral. Lineage: Bacteria; Bacillati; Bacillota; Clostridia.